RNAcentral lists this non-coding RNA (87 nucleotides) under Pseudomonas poae. The record is from RNAcentral. Lineage: Bacteria; Pseudomonadati; Pseudomonadota; Gammaproteobacteria; Pseudomonadales; Pseudomonadaceae.
GUGGGAGGGGGCUUGCUCCCGAUAGCGGUGUAUCAGUCAGCAUCCUUGUAGCUGACAGAUCUCUAUCGGGAGCAAGCCCCCUCCCAC